This 253-nucleotide ribosomal RNA is filed under the name uncultured bacterium. RNAcentral's name for it is "partial 16S ribosomal RNA". It matches the Rfam family "Bacterial small subunit ribosomal RNA", at positions 524 to 776 of the family's 1533-position model. The record is from RNAcentral.
UACGUAGGGGGCAAGCGUUGUCCGGAAUCAUUGGGCGUAAAGCGCGCGUAGGCGGCCCUGUAAGUCCGUUGUGAAAGUCAAAGGCUCAACCUUUGAAAGCCGGUGGAUACUGCAGGGCUAGAGUCCGGAAGAGGCGAGUGGAAUUCCUGGUGUAGCGGUGGAAUGCGCAGAUAUCAGGAGGAACACCAAUAGCGAAGGCAGCUCGCUGGGACGGUACUGACGCUAAGGCGCGAAAGCGUGGGGAGCGAACAGG